AUUGAACGCUGGCGGCAGGCCUAACACAUGCAAGUCGAGCGGAUGAAGGGAGCUUGCUCCUGGAUUCAGCGGCGGACGGGUGAGUAAUGCCUAGGAAUCUGCCUGGUAGUGGGGGAUAACGUCCGGAAACGGGCGCUAAUACCGCAUACGUCCUGAGGGAGAAAGUGGGGGAUCUUCGGACCUCACGCUAUCAGAUGAGCCUAGGUCGGAUUAGCUAGUUGGUGGGGUAAAGGCCUACCAAGGCGACGAUCCGUAACUGGUCUGAGAGGAUGAUCAGUCACACUGGAACUGAGACACGGUCCAGACUCCUACGGGAGGCAGCAGUGGGGAAUAUUGGACAAUGGGGGAAAGCCUGAUCCAGCCAUGCCGCGUGUGUGAAGAAGGUCUUCGGAUUGUAAAGCACUUUAAGUUGUGAGGAAGGGCAGUAAGUUAAUACCUUGCUGUUUUGACGUUACCAACAGAAUAAGCACCGGCUAACUUCGUG
Molecule: ribosomal RNA, 484 nt
Filed under: uncultured bacterium
Lineage: Bacteria
Description: partial 16S ribosomal RNA
Rfam family: Bacterial small subunit ribosomal RNA
Source: RNAcentral